UGCUGUGAGCUCGAUGAGUAGGGCGGGACACGUGGUAUCCUGUCUGAAUAUGGGGGGACCAUCCUCCAAGGCUAAAUACUCCUGACUGACCGAUAGUGAACCAGUACCGUGAGGGAAAGGCGAAAAGAACCCCGGCGAGGGGAGUGAAAAAGAACCUGAAACCGUGUACGUACAAGCAGUGGGAGCACAGGUUUACCUGUGUGACUGCGUACCUUUUGUAUAAUGGGUCAGCGACUUAUAUUCUGUAGCAAGGUUAACCGAAUAGGGGAGCCGGAGGGAAACCGAGUCUUAAUUGGGCGUUAAGUUGCAGGGUAUAGACCCGAAACCCGGUGAUCUAGCCAUGGGCAGGUUGAAGGUUGGGUAACACUAACUGGAGGACCGAACCGACUAAUGUUGAAAAAUUAGCGGAUGACCUGUGGCUGGGGGUGAAAGGCCAAUCAAACCGGGAGAUAGCUGGUUCUCCCCGAAAGCUAUUUAGGUAGCGCCUCGUGAAUUCAUCUCCGGGGGUAGAGCACUGUUUCGGCUAGGGGGCCAUCCCGGCUUACCAACCCGAUGCAAACUGCGAAUACCGGAGAAUGUUAUCACGGGAGACACACGGCGGGUGCUAACGUCCGUCGUGAAGAGGGAAACAACCCAGACCGCCAGCUAAGGUCCCAAAGUCAUGGUUAAGUGGGAAACGAUGUGGGAAGGCCCAGACAGCCAGGAUGUUGGCUUAGAAGCAGCCAUCAUUUAAAGAAAGCGUAAUAGCUCACUGGUCGAGUCGGCCUGCGCGGAAGAUGUAACGGGGCUAAACCAUGCACCGAAGCUGCGGCAGCGACGCUUAUGCGUUGUUGGGUAGGGGAGCGUUCUGUAAGCCUGUGAAGGUGGCCUGUGAGGGUUGCUGGAGGUAUCAGAAGUGCGAAUGCUGACAUAAGUAACGAUAAAGCGGGUGAAAAGCCCGCUCGCCGGAAGACCAAGGGUUCCUGUCCAACGUUAAUCGGGGCAGGGUGAGUCGACCCCUAAGGCGAGGCCGAAAGGCGUAGUCGAUGGGAAACGGGUUAAUAUUCCCGUACUUGGUGUUACUGCGAAGGGGGGACGGAGAAGGCUAUGUUGGCCGGGCGACGGUUGUCCCGGUUUAAGCGUGUAGGUGUGUGUUCCAGGUAAAUCCGGUUCACUUUAACACUGAGGCGUGAUGACGAGGCACUACGGUGCUGAAGCAACAAAUGCCCUGCUUCCAGGAAAAGCCUCUAAGCAUCAGGUAACAUCAAAUCGUACCCCAAACCGACACAGGUGGUCAGGUAGAGAAUACCAAGGCGCUUGAGAGAACUCGGGUGAAGGAACUAGGCAAAAUGGUGCCGUAACUUCGGGAGAAGGCACGCUGACACGUAGGUGAAGUGAUUUACUCAUGGAGCUGAAGUCAGU
Molecule: ribosomal RNA, 1401 nt
Filed under: Salmonella enterica subsp. enterica serovar Minnesota
Lineage: Bacteria; Pseudomonadati; Pseudomonadota; Gammaproteobacteria; Enterobacterales; Enterobacteriaceae
Description: partial 23S ribosomal RNA
Rfam family: Bacterial large subunit ribosomal RNA
Source: RNAcentral